CCUACGGGGGGCAGCAGUGGGGAAUAUUGGACAAUGGGCGAAAGCCUGAUCCAGCCAUGCCGCGUGUGUGAAGAAGGCCUUCGGGUUGUAAAGCACUUUCAGUGGGGAAGAAAGCCUUGGGGCUAAUACCCUCGAGGAAGGACAUCACCCACAGAAGAAGCACCGGCUAACUCCGUGCCAGCAGCCGCGGUAAUACGGAGGGUGCGAGCGUUAAUCGGAAUUACUGGGCGUAAAGCGCGCGUAGGCGGUCUGAUAAGCCGGUUGUGAAAGCCCCGGGCUCAACCUGGGAACGGCAACCGGAACUGUCAGGCUAGAGUGCAGGAGAGGAAGGUAGAAUUACCGGUGUAGCGGUGAAAUGCGUAGAGAUCGGGAGGAAUACCAGUGGCGAAGGCGGGCUUCUGGACUGAAACUGACGCUGAGGUGCGAAAGCGUGGGUAGCAAACAGGAUUAGAUACCCGGGUAGUC
Molecule: ribosomal RNA, 465 nt
Filed under: Vreelandella stevensii
Lineage: Bacteria; Pseudomonadati; Pseudomonadota; Gammaproteobacteria; Oceanospirillales; Halomonadaceae
Description: partial 16S ribosomal RNA
Rfam family: Bacterial small subunit ribosomal RNA
Source: RNAcentral